UACGUAGGUGGCGAGCGUUGUCCGGAAUUACUGGGUGUAAAGGGCGUGUAGGCGGGACUGCAAGUCAGAUGUGAAAUACCGGGGCUCAACUCCGGGGCUGCAUUUGAAACUGUAGUUCUUGAGUGCAGGAGAGGAAAGCGGAAUUCCUAGUGUAGCGGUGAAAUGCGUAGAGAUUAGGAGGAACACCAGUGGCGAAGGCGGCUUUCUGGACUGUAACUGACGCUGAGGCGCGAAAGCGUGGGGAGCGAACAGGAUUAGAUACCCUGGUAGUCCACGCCGUAAACGAUGGAUACUAGGUGUUGGGGGUAUCGACCCCCUCAGUGCCGGAGUUAACACAAUAAGUAUCCCACCUGGGGAGUACGGCCGCAAGGUUGAAACUCAAAGGAAUUGACGGGGGCCCGCACAAGCAGUGGAGUAUGUGGUUUAAUUCGAAGCAACGCGAAGAACCUUACCAGGGCUUGACAUCUACCGAAUCUUCUAGAGAUAGAGGAGUGCCUUCGGGAGCGGUAAGACAGGUGGUGCAUGGUU
Molecule: ribosomal RNA, 528 nt
Filed under: uncultured bacterium
Lineage: Bacteria
Description: bacterial SSU rRNA
Rfam family: Bacterial small subunit ribosomal RNA
Source: RNAcentral